Molecule: ribosomal RNA, 253 nt
Filed under: uncultured bacterium
Lineage: Bacteria
Description: partial 16S ribosomal RNA
Rfam family: Bacterial small subunit ribosomal RNA
Source: RNAcentral
UACGUAGGGGGCAAGCGUUGUCCGGAAUCAUUGGGCGUAAAGAGCGUGUAGGCGGCUUGGUAAGUCCGCUGUGAAAGUCCAGGGCUCAACCCUGGAAUGCCGGUGGAAACUGUCAAGCUUGAGUCCGGAAGAGGCGAGUGGAAUUCCUGGUGUAGCGGUGAGAUGCGCAGAUAUCAGGAGGAACACCAAUUGCGAAGGCAGCUCGCUGGGACGUAACUGACGCUGAGACGCGAAAGCGUGGGGAGCAAACAGG